Molecule: ribosomal RNA, 544 nt
Filed under: Rastrelliger kanagurta (Indian mackerel)
Lineage: Eukaryota; Metazoa; Chordata; Actinopteri; Scombriformes; Scombridae
Description: partial large subunit ribosomal RNA
Rfam family: Bacterial large subunit ribosomal RNA
Source: RNAcentral
UGACUAUAUGUUUAACGGCCGCGGUAUUUUAACCGUGCAAAGGUAGCGCAAUCACUUGUCUUUUAAAUGAAGACCUGUAUGAAUGGUAUUACGAGGGCUUAACUGUCUCCUUUUUCAAGUCAGUGAAAUUGAUCUCCCCGUGCAGAAGCGGGGAUAAGACCAUAAGACGAGAAGACCCUAUGGAGCUUUAGACACCAAGGCAAAUCAAGUUAAACACCCCUAAACAAAGGACUAAACCUAUUGAAUCUUGCCCGUAUGUCUUCGGUUGGGGCGACCAUGGGGAAACAAGAAACCCCCACGUGGAACGGGAGCACAACCUCCUACAGCUGAGAGCUGCCGCUCUAAUAAGCAGAACUUCUGACCAAUAAGAUCCGGCAACGCCGAUCAACGGACCAAGUUACCCUAGGGAUAACAGCGCAAUCCCCUUUUAGAGCCCCUAUCGACAAGGGGGUUUACGACCUCGAUGUUGGAUCAGGACAUCCCAAUGGUGCAGCCGCUAUUGAAGGUUCGUUUGUUCAACGAUUAAAGUCCUACGUGAUCUGAG